RNAcentral lists this transfer RNA (73 nucleotides) under Ailuropoda melanoleuca (giant panda). It matches the Rfam family "tRNA". From Rfam's summary of the family: Transfer RNA (tRNA) molecules are approximately 80 nucleotides in length. The record is from Rfam by way of RNAcentral. Lineage: Eukaryota; Metazoa; Chordata; Mammalia; Carnivora; Ursidae.
GCCUGGCUGGCUCAGUUAGUAGAGCAUGUGACUCCUGACCUCAGGGUUGUGAGUUCAAGCCCCAUGUCGGGUG